AACAAGCGAAUAAGCAUUAUAUAGCUUAUGAUUAUUAUAUUUUCUUUAUUUGGUAUUGCAAUUCAUCACCUAUGUUUUUACAAAAAAUGUCUGAAUGUACACAACUUUGGGAUAAUGCCUACUAUAAUAUACAUAUGUCUGAAUCGAAAACAUUUAUUCACCACACAUUUGAAAAAUUUAAUGUGUAUAUGUAAAGAAGGCGAUGAAGAUGUGAUUACAGCCAGACCAAGACGCAUGUCUGAAGUCAAUACAGCUACAAAAAUUCAGCCCAUUCCAGAGGGUUCAUCUUUCUUCAUAAUGUCUCAGACAAACAGGUUUCGUGUCUUUUGCCAUUGGCUCUGCAAUCAUAGUAACUUUGGAAACGUUAUAUUAUGUUGUAUUAUGUUCUCCUCAGCAAUGUUGGCAGCAGAGGAUCCUUUACGGUCAGAUGCCGAUCGCAACAAAGUACUAAAUAAGUUUGAUUAUUUUUUCACGGGUGUCUUCACAAUAGAACUGUUACUAAAAUUGAUUUCAUAUGGCUUCGUGCUGCAUGACGGAGCCUUUUGCAGAUCUGCAUUUAAUCUUCUUGAUUUACUUGUAGUCUGCGUUUCCUUAAUAUCAAUUCAGUCCAGGUACUUAUAUUCAGUGAGCCGAUUUGUGUGCAAAUUUCGUGAAGCUGUUGGUCUUGCAUACGAUAUGUUUAUUGUUGUUGUGCCUAAAACCAAACGUCUAUUUGCAUUGCGUUUUUAUUCUUCUUUCUCCAUUCUUCGACCGCUAUUUGACUUUGCUUGCAGUCUUACAAUUUAUUUGUUGUUUUAAAAAAAAUUUCCACAACCGAUAGCUUCAAGUGUUUUUUCUUUCUGUUUUUAAAUGCUUAUAAUCGCAAAUAGUCCAAACGCUGCUCACUUGAGCUUGUGUAUUAGCUUGUUAAGUUUUCACAAUUUUUGCAUAAUUUUAAUUAUUAACAAAAGGAAGUUUUUGCGAAGGUUCGUUUAAAGAAUCAUUUUCUUUGACUCCGCGACUGCGCCACUAACAUAAACCACAAUUUAAAGGUUUAUUAUUAUAAUUUUAUUCACUAACAUAAACCACAAUGUAAAGGUUUAUAAUUUUAUUCACAAUGGUCUUCACACACGUGUAAGUAGUUUGAAAUAAAAAAGAAGAGUAAGUGAGGAAGAACUUAAAAGCUAGGAACUUACUCUAAAGUAGUAAUUGAAAUUAUACUAUAUACAGUUAGAGAGAAUAACAAUGUUUUAGGGAAUUGUUGUAGAGACAUAAUGUCACUUGUAUAUGAUAGUAAAUAAAUACCUGUAUUACAUUUUUUGGAAUC
Anastrepha ludens (Mexican fruit fly) is the source of this 1306-nucleotide long non-coding RNA. RefSeq lists it as uncharacterized. The transcript has 4 exons. Lineage: Eukaryota; Metazoa; Arthropoda; Insecta; Diptera; Tephritidae. The record is from RefSeq and is a predicted model, not a curated record.